This 442-nucleotide ribosomal RNA is filed under the name uncultured bacterium. Its description in RNAcentral is "bacterial SSU rRNA". It matches the Rfam family "Bacterial small subunit ribosomal RNA", at positions 97 to 573 of the family's 1533-position model. The record is from RNAcentral.
GGCGAACGGCUGAGUAACACGUAGGAACCUACCCCGCAGCUCGGGACAACAGGCCGAAAGGCCUGCUAAUACCGGAUAAUACCGCAAGGUUGAAAGGCUUGCCACUGGGGGAGGGGCCUGCGGCCUAUUAGCUUGAUGGUGGGGUAAUGGCCUACCAUGGCGAUGAUGGGUAGCUGGUCUGAGAGGAUGAUCAGCCAGACUGGGACUGAGACACGGCCCAGACUCCUACGGGAGGCAGCAGUUCAGAAUCUUGCGCAAUGGACGAAAGUCUGACGCAGCGAUACCGCGUGGGUGAAGAAGGCCUUCGGGUCGUAAAGCCCUGUCAGGGGGAAAGAUAAUGACGGUACCCCCUAAGGAAGCCACGGCUAAUUACGUGCCAGCAGCCGCGGUAAUACGUAAGUGGCGAGCGUUAUCCGGAAUCACUGGGCGUAAAGAGUGCGUA